AUUGAACGCUGGCGGCAUGCCUUACACAUGCAAGUCGAACGGUAACAGGUCUUCGGAUGCUGACGAGUGGCGAACGGGUGAGUAAUACAUCGGAACGUGCCCGAUCGUGGGGGAUAACGAGGCGAAAGCUUUGCUAAUACCGCAUACGAUCUACGGAUGAAAGCGGGGGAUCUUCGGACCUCGCGCGGACGGAGCGGCCGAUGGCAGAUUAGGUAGUUGGUGGGAUAAAAGCUUACCAAGCCGACGAUCUGUAGCUGGUCUGAGAGGAUGAUCAGCCACACUGGGACUGAGACACGGCCCAGACUCCUACGGGAGGCAGCAGUGGGGAAUUUUGGACAAUGGGCGAAAGCCUGAUCCAGCCAUGCCGCGUGCAGGACGAAGGCCUUCGGGUUGUAAACUGCUUUUGUACGGAACGAAAAGCCUCUUUCUAAUAAAGAGGGGUCAUGACGGUACCGUAAGAAUAAGCACCGGCUAACUACGUG
RNAcentral lists this ribosomal RNA (482 nucleotides) under uncultured bacterium. RNAcentral's name for it is "partial 16S ribosomal RNA". It matches the Rfam family "Bacterial small subunit ribosomal RNA", at positions 30 to 507 of the family's 1533-position model. The record is from RNAcentral.